AACGCGAAGAACCUUACCUGGGUUUGACAUCCUCUGACCGCCUAUGAAAGUAGGUUUCCCCGCAAGGGGCAGAGAGACAGGUGCUGCAUGGCUGUCGUCAGCUCGUGUCGUGAGAUGUUGGGUUAAGUCCCGCAACGAGCGCAACCCUUGUCCUGUGUUGCCAUCAUUCAGUUGGGAACUCGCAGGAGACCGCCAGCGAUAAGCUGGAGGAAGGUGGGGAUGACGUCAAGUCCUCAUGGCCUUUAUGUCCAGGGCUACACACGUGCUACAAUGGACGGUACAAUACGUCGCUAACCCGCGAGGGGGAGCCAAUCGCUAAAAACCGUUCUCAGUUCGGAUUGCAGGCUGCAACUCGCCUGCAUGAAGCUGGAAUCGCUAGUAAUGGCAGAUCAGCACGCUGCCGUGAAUACGUUCCCGGGCCUUGUACACACCGCAUAC
This 438-nucleotide ribosomal RNA is filed under the name uncultured bacterium. Its description in RNAcentral is "bacterial SSU rRNA". It matches the Rfam family "Bacterial small subunit ribosomal RNA", at positions 958 to 1397 of the family's 1533-position model. The record is from RNAcentral.